Molecule: ribosomal RNA, 253 nt
Filed under: uncultured bacterium
Lineage: Bacteria
Description: partial 16S ribosomal RNA
Rfam family: Bacterial small subunit ribosomal RNA
Source: RNAcentral
GACAGAGGUGCCAAGCGUUAGGCGGAAUCACUGGGCUUAAAGCGUGUGUAGGCGGGUCGUUAAGUACCUUGUGAAAUCCCACGGCUCAACCGUGGAACUGCUCGGUAUACUGGCGAUCUUGGGCCACUUAGGGGCUAGCGGAACAAACGGUGGAGCGGUGAAAUGCGCAGAUAUCAGGAAGAACACCCGUGGCGAAGGCGGCUCUCUGGGACGGUACUGACGCUGAGACGCGAAAGCGUGGGGAGCGAACAGG